This is a long non-coding RNA of Pongo pygmaeus (Bornean orangutan), 3050 nucleotides long. RefSeq lists it as uncharacterized. The transcript has 4 exons. NCBI's taxonomy places the organism in Eukaryota, Metazoa, Chordata, Mammalia, Primates, Hominidae. The record is from RefSeq and is a predicted model, not a curated record.
GUCUGUCUGUGCUCUGUGACAGGCACACAGCACACCCCCCCCACAACCCACUCCAGGACCUCAGGCGGGAUUCUGACUCCCAGGAUGGCCCUGGGCGCUUAGAGCUGGCAUUGAGACAAUUGAUGUCUGAGCGGCUGUGUUAGGAGGAUAGCUACGUAUGAAAGACUGAUGUCCGGAGAGGAGAGCCGUGCUGGAGAUGGACACUUGAAACCCUUGAAAAUGGAAGACGUCACCGAUCCUCUAAAGAGAGGGUGGAGAAAGGAAAGAAGAGAACCUGGCUCCAGACCUGAAGAGCCUCAGCCUAACAUUAGAGAAAAAGCCCAACUUGGAAAAAGCCUGGGAGAUACCCCAGGAUCCUUCUAGCAAAUCCCCCUCUCUGCUUGCCCACCCCACUCGCUUCAAGGACAAGGAGUGGAAGAAACAAGGAAAAUGGGCUCCAACAACUGGAUGGUGCUGUCCACACUGAGGGCGAAUCUCCCCCACUAGUCCACUCAGACUCACACUAAUCUCCUCUGGAAACACCUCACAGACACACCCCAAAAUAACGCUUUAUCAAGUUUCUAGGUAUUUCUUAAUCCAGUCAAGUUGACACCUAAAAUGAACCAUCACAAAAACUUUCCGUUAAAUUCAUUCCUAAAUAUUGUGUUUUUUAUUGCUACUCUAAGUGGUAUUUUAAAUUUUAAUUUUCCAGUUGUUUCUUGCUAAUGUAUAGGAAAGCAAUGGAUCUGGUAAUUGAUUGUAUACCCUUUGGCCUUGCUGUAUUCACUUACUAAUUCUAGUGCUUUUUUGUAGCUUCUUUGGGAUUUUCUGCAUCUAUAUUUAUAAUCAUAUUGUUUAUGAAUCUACACACUUUUUCCUCUUCAAUCUGUGUGUCAUUUGUUUCUUCUUCUUGCCUUAUUGCAUUGGCUGGGACCUGUGAUACAGUUUUAUAGAGAGCACUUGCUGUACCCACAUGGCAGAGUACAUAGAAGGGUGACACCAGGAGGUAAGUUCAGAGGUCCCAAAAACUAAGCAUAGUACAGUCAUCCCCUCUUAUCUGUGGGGAAUAUGUUUCAAGACACCUACUUGGUGCCUGAAGCUGCAGGCAGACAGAUAGAUAGAUGGAUAGAUGAUUGAUAGAUAGAUAGAUAGAUAGAUAGAUAGAUAGAUAAAGAGGGGAUUUAUUAGGGGAAUUGGUUCACAUGAUUGUGGGGCCUGAGAAGUCCCACACAGGCCAUCUGCAAGCUAGAGACCCUAGGGCACUGGUGGUGUGGCUCAGUAUAAGUCCAAAAGCCCCAAACCAGGGAAGCCAAUGGUAGAACUCUCUCUCCAAGGUCAAAGGCCUUGGGAACCCAGAGGCAGGGGGAGAAACCCAGGUUGUACAGAACACUAUAUGUACCACGUCUCUUUUAUCUGACUACCAAGAGGGCUACUAAGUGACUAACAGCGGGUAGCGUAGACAGCGUGAAUAUGCUGAACAAAGGGACAAUUCACAUCCUGUGCAGGACAGAGCAGGACGGUGCAAGAUUUCAUUGUGCUCCUCAGAGGGUGUACAAUUUAAAACAUGUGAAUGGUUUAUUUCUGGACUCUUCCAGUUUAUAAUUUUAAAAUGCAAUUGACUGUGGGUAAUUGAAAUCACAGACAGUGAAACUGAGGAUGGUGGAGGCUACUGUACAUAAUUUUCAGGUCCUGCUGACUUCUCUAGUUUCAUUAAAGAGCAAACUCUGGCAGGAUAUGUCAUAUUUGUAUAAUACUUGAGAGCUGGGCUGGCUACGUAAUUUGCAGGGUGCACUGAAAAAUGAAAAUGAGACUGCUUAUUCAUGAAACAUGAAAAACGUUCUUUCCUUUUUUCCAAAGUCUGUCUCUGUCUGUGCUCCUCCCUCCAUGACCCUCCCCUGCCCUCUAAAUCUGUCACAGUGAUUUUUACGUGCUGUUUACUGCCGUGCUCCCUUGAGCAUGGGAAUACCUGCAAGACAAGGAGGGGCCUUCACAGGCAGAGGUGUCAGGGUCAGAACCGUGGAGUGGCCUCGGGUGAGUCAAGGCUGCAAGCCCCAUUACUCCAUUGCCCCACAGGGCUUCUCUUUCAAAGCACACAUUCAAUAAUAAGAUUGUUAAAAUAUCAAGAUAACAACUGCAGAGCACUCAAAAUGCAAACACCGUCCUCCCGAGCAUGGAACCCUCUUAAGAACAAGUCCUCCUGAGCAUUGAGUCCUCCUGAGCACCGAGCCCUCCAGAGCAGAGAGUCCUCCUGAGCACCGAGCCCUCCUGAGCAGAGAGUCCUCCCGAGCAGAGUCCUCCUGAGCACUGAGCCGCCCUCCUGAGCACACAGUCCUCCUGAGAACAGAGCCCUCCUGAACAUCGAGCCCUCCUGAGCACCAAGCCCUCCUGAGCAGAGUCCUUCUGAGCACCGAGCCAUCCUGAGCACCGAGUCCUCCUGAGCAUGGGGUCCUCCUGAGCAUGGGGUCCUCCUGAGCAUGGGGUCCUCCUGAGCACUGAGUCCUCCUGAGCACUGAGCCAUCCUGAGCACCAAGUCAUCCUGAGCACCGAGUCCUCCUGAGCAUGGGGUCCUCCUGGGGGUCUCCUGAGUGGCUACCAAUCAUACACCUGCCUCGCACACACCAGUGCCAAGGGCCUGCGUGCUUGGUGCCCUGACAGGUGUCUGGGGCCCGCCUGCUAUCUCGCACUCACAGCCUCACAUUCACUUACGAUGGGCCAGGCGUUUAACAGGUGAAACUGCGGCUCUGAGAGCUCAGAGAGCUUCUUUCACAGUAGCAGCUGCUCCCACAAGGAGUGGAGUCUUCCCUCUGUAAGAGGGCAGCAGAGAUUGUAAAUUCUCUCUAACAAUGGUGCGGUGGUGAGCAGUCUUUGCUUUAGUAAUGGACACAUGUAUUCUGUAUUCACUUUCAUGGUCAGGUGUUUUCUUAAGCUAAUCUUAAUCUGAUUAAGAAUGGUAAGGUGUGGCCAGGGGCAGUGGCUCACACCUGUAAUUCCAGCACUUUGGGAGACCGAGGUGGGUGGAUCAUGAGGUCAGGAGAUUGAGACCAUCCUGGCUAACACAGUGAAACCCCGUC